RNAcentral lists this ribosomal RNA (696 nucleotides) under Triticum aestivum (bread wheat). RNAcentral describes it as "partial small subunit ribosomal RNA". The record is from RNAcentral. Lineage: Eukaryota; Viridiplantae; Streptophyta; Magnoliopsida; Poales; Poaceae.
AUGUGGGAAGAAUGCUUGCCUCAUAUUGAGUUUGCUUAUAAUCGUUCAUUGCAUUCUACUACUAAGAUGUGCCCUUUUGAAAUUGUGUAUGGUUUCCUACCUCGUGCACCUAUUGAUUUGUUGCCUCUUCCAUCUUCGGAGAAGGUUAAUUUUGAUGCUAAACAACGUGCUGAAUUGAUCUUAAAAAUGCAUGAGUUAACUAAGGAAAACAUUGAGCGUAUGAAUGCUAAAUAUAAACUUGCUGGAGAUAAGGGUAGAAAACAUGUUGUGUUUGCACCUGGAGAUCUUGUUUGGUUACAUUUGCGUAAGGAUAGAUUUCCUGAUUUGCGCAAAUCAAAGCUAAUGCCACGUGCUGAUGGUCCCUUUAAGGUGUUAGAGAAAAUAAAUGAUAAUGCAUAUAAACUUGAGCUGCCUGCAGAUUUUGGGGUUAGUCCCACUUUUAACAUUGCAGAUUUGAAGCCUUAUUUGGGUGAGGAAGAUGAACUUCCGUCAAGGACGACUUCAUUUCAAGAAGGGGAGGAUGAUGAGGACAUCAAUACAAUUGUUACACCCACAGCCCCUGCUGCUAUACAUACUGGACCAAUUACUAGAGCUCGUGCACGCCAACUAAAUUACCAGGAAACAGACCCUCGUGGUCAGGUUGAUCGUGCUCCGGCGUGGUCAAUAACCUCUCGGAGUUGGUUUAGCGAUUGCUAA